Parus major (Great Tit) is the source of this 1668-nucleotide long non-coding RNA. The record is from Ensembl. Lineage: Eukaryota; Metazoa; Chordata; Aves; Passeriformes; Paridae.
CAUGACUUUGACAAAUAUUGCCUCUUGAAGAUGCCACUUCCUCUGCAGCUUUGGCCAUGUCCACUGACAUCUGGCUAUCACAGCCUUACCUGACCCCCUUGCAAUGCCCAGUUCCCUAAAACAGAAGGGGAUCCCAGCGCACCAUGGUAUGGUUCUGAUCUCUGCUCCCUUCUAGAUUGGGAUCGUGACAUGGAAUAUCUGGAAAUGCUGGUAAAUGGUGGUUUGAACACCUUGACAGAGGCUGGAGGCAAGUUCUCAAUGUCCCUUUCUGCACAGUAUAAUCAGUGUCAGUGUGGCAAGAGCUCACUCAUGUGCCAUUUCCCUUAAGAGUCUGAAGGUUGAUGGAUUGUGGAAACCUUGCCCUGCUCCCUUCUGGAGCUCUGAGUGAUCCCACAGCAUCAGUGGGAGGAAGGAUAAUUUAGAUGUCAAUUCUCUUCCCAUGUUCAAUGCCAGUGUCUCUUUCCAUGUGCUCUGUGCAGCCAUGGAGAAGAACAGAGAGGGAAGGAGCCAGGCCCAGGGCUGUGUCCUGGGGCUGUGCCUUAUGCAGCUCCUUUGCCAACCUCAGGGAGCCUGAGCUGCUCUCGCUGCCACUGCCAAGCCCUGGCCUUGCCUGGGGCUCAGUUCAGAGCUGCUGGCAGCACAAGGGUGUCCUUUCUCCCCUGACUGCCAUGCAAGGGGCUCCUUCCAUCCCAGUGUGGGGCCACUGCAGGCACGUGGUCCCCCUGCCCCUGCUCCUGAAUGGAAGGCAGAGAUGAGGGAGUGCCUUGGAGGACAGCAGUCAUCCAGGUGCACUCACUGCCACUCCAGACCGAAGGAGAAUUCUCAGCACAGUCACGGGAGCUAUUCUAUCCUACCUUUCUUUGCAGAUCAACUUGAUGAUGAUGAUGAUGAUGAUCUGGAUUUCCAACCCAUAUCAGUUGCUGAGCCUGGUGAUGAGGAGGCUGAUGAGGGUAGGUCAAGGCCUUUCCCCCAGGGAGAGUGGCCAGCUCAGAGCCCAGAGCUCGGUCAGGGCGGCAUCGCUGCAGGUGCCAGGACAGAGUUCUGCACGUGUGUGCCCUCGGCCUGAGCGAUCCCCUCACCUCUCCUGCAGCUCAGUGCUGCCUGUGCACAUCAGCAGAGAUGACAGAAGCUUCUGUGGCUGUUCAGUUACAGGUGUGUCUGCAGGGAGGACUUUCCCAGCUCCUGGGAUGGUUACUGCACAAAAGCCCAGGUCCCAUCGGAGGGAUUCAGCCGGCACCACAACUCAUGCUCAGAAUAUCUGGGAAAGCAUGAGAAGAAUUUUCAGCCCAGGAACACAUGGUUUGAUUAAGCUAAUGGCCAUUUUGGUUGCUGGAGCCCUUUUCCUGAUGAUGUGCUGUGCUGGAAUCUGGUAUUGCUGGAACAGAAAACGGAGCACAUCUGCACCUUCAGAAGACCUAUGAAAGACUUUAGUCAAUGAGAAGUUGACCUGUCUUUCUCACUCUUUACCUCUGACCCCAUCUGCUGUUGUCCUGGUGCAGCCCUGUCUUGAGGGCAUCCCAACACCCACACCUCCAAAGCCAUACCCUCUCACCCUGAGCCCCCUGUCCCUGCACCCUGGCCAGGACUGAAGGUGGGCAGCCCCUGUCCACCAGAGCAGGCCUUGGCCCAUGUUUUAUUUUCAAAUAAAGAAAUGAAACUGUCACCCCA